UACAGAGGUGGCAAGCGUUGUUCGGAAUUACUGGGCGUAAAGGGCGCGUAGGCGGCCUUCUAAGUCAGACGUGAAAUCCCCCGGCUUAACCGGGGAACUGCGUCCGAUACUGGUUGGCUUGAGUUUGGGAGAGGGAUGCGGAAUUCCAGGUGUAGCGGUGAAAUGCGUAGAUAUCUGGAGGAACACCGGUGGCGAAGGCGGCAUCCUGGACCAAUACUGACGCUGAGGAGCGAAAGCCAGGGGAGCAAACGGG
Molecule: ribosomal RNA, 253 nt
Filed under: uncultured bacterium
Lineage: Bacteria
Description: partial 16S ribosomal RNA
Rfam family: Bacterial small subunit ribosomal RNA
Source: RNAcentral